This 1386-nucleotide long non-coding RNA is filed under the name Salmo salar (Atlantic salmon). RNAcentral describes it as "lncRNA (ENSSSAG00000107712.1)". The record is from RNAcentral. Lineage: Eukaryota; Metazoa; Chordata; Actinopteri; Salmoniformes; Salmonidae.
AUGUUAUUUAUUACAGAUUGAAAUAACACGGUCAAAACAGAGAAUACACGUAUCGCUACUGCUCCAACGAAAGAGACAACAACCCACAAACAUCGUGGGGGGAAGAGGAACUUAAAUAUGAUUCCCCAAUCAGAGGCAACUAGCGACAGCUGUCUCUGAUUGGGAAUCUACAGAACCCAACAUAGAAAUACGCCCCAAAGCAAGGCUAUACCAAAACAUAGAAAAUAAACUAUAGAAAUGCCACACCCUGACCAAAAUAGAAGAGUUCACCUGGUCAGGGCGUGACAUUUUAAUUAUGCAAUGUUACCAAAUGAAAAGAAAGUUGAGGUGCCUUCUGCCCUGAUGAAGGUAGGCUAGUCUUCUCCAGGACCCAUUGUUGUUCAAGACAGUUACAGUCAUUCAUUACAUUCUUAUUGGACUCACAUACACUCUUAGAGAAAAAGGUUCCAAAAGUGUGCUUCUGCUUUCCCCAUGGGAUAUCCAUUUUUGGUUCCAGGUAUAACCCUUUGGGGAAAAUGUUAUACAUGGAACCCAAUAGGGUUCUACUUGGAACCAAAAGGGGUACUACCUGGAACCAAAAAGGGAUCUCCUAUGGGGACAGCCGGGGAACCCUUUUAAGUAGAUAGUACCAUUCUUUCUAAGAGUAGAGUUGGCCUGGGCUACAGUUUAAUGAUAUAGUCAUAGACUGAAUUGUACUGUUUCAAGGCAUUGUUAAUGAUGGUUGAUGAGUAUUACAAUAUAAUUAGUAGAGCAUAAUAAACAGUAAUGAGGUAGCUAUCUGAGUAGAUAUAAUAUGUGGGUGGAAUUGAAGUUACACACAAUAUUGAUAAUUAUUUGGAAUUAUAUUCUAGAUUCUUGGCGACAGGGGACUCCUACAGGACCAAUGGAUUCAGAUUCCGAGUUGGACGGUCCACAGGCAUUGUCCCCUCUGUGGCACAAGCCAUUUGGGACUGUCUGGUUGGUGAAUACAUGCCUGUCCCCAAGGAGGAAGACUGGAGGGCCAUCGCUGCUGAGUUCCUGGAGAGGUGGAAUUUCCCCAACUGUCUUGGCUCCAUUGACGGGAAACAUGUAGUAAUCCAGGCUCCACCGUGCUCAGCUUCGCAAUUCUACAACAAGGCCGGUGGUAGCUGGUCCCCUGCAGGAAGGUGAGGUGCUGGAGGUCCCUCCGCCCCCUCUGGACAUCGGGGGCUCCCCGGCGUACAGCAUAAGGGCUAUUCUGGACUCGAGACGCCGGGUGAGGGGCCUGCAGUACCUCGUGGACUGGGAGGGGUACGGCCCGGAGGAGAGGUUCUGGGUACCGGUGGAGGACAUCUUGGACCCGUCCCUGUUGAGGGAUUUCCAUCGCCUCCACCCGGAGCGCCCUGCGCCUCGCCCUGUGUCGGCGCG